ACGUUAACGAACGAGACCUUAACCUGCUAAAUAGCCCGUAUUGCUUUGGCAGUACGCUGGCUUCUUAGAGGGACUAUCGGCUCAAGCCGAUGGAAGUUUGAGGCAAUAACAGGUCUGUGAUGCCCUUAGAUGUUCUGGGCCGCACGCGCGCUACACUGAUCAAGUCAACGAGUUUACAACCUUGGCCGGAAGGUCUGGGUAAUCUUUUGAAACUUGAUCGUGCUGGGGAUAGUCCAUUGCAAUUAUUGGACUUCAACGAGGAAUUCCUAGUAAGCGUGAGUCAUCAGCUCGCGUUGAUUACGUCCCUGCCCUUUGUACACACCGCCCGUCGCUAAUACCGAUUGAAUGGAUA
Molecule: ribosomal RNA, 352 nt
Filed under: Eukaryota sp.
Lineage: Eukaryota
Description: SSU rRNA
Rfam family: Eukaryotic small subunit ribosomal RNA
Source: RNAcentral